CCUACGGGAGGCAGCAGUGGGGAAUAUUGCGCAAUGGGCGAAAGCCUGACGCAGCGACGCCGCGUGAGGGAUGAAGGUCUUCGGAUCGUAAACCUCUGUCAGCAGGGAAGAACGGUCACUGUGCUAAUCAGCAGUGAAUUGACGGUACCUGCAAAGGAAGCACCGGCUAACUCCGUGCCAGCAGCCGCGGUAAUACGGAGGGUGCGAGCGUUAAUCGGAAUUACUGGGCGGAAAGCGCACGUAGGCGGUAUGUCAAGUCAAUGGUGAAAUCCCCGGGCUCAACGUGGGAACUGCCUUUGAAACUGGCAAAGUGGAGUGUAGGAGAGGAUAGUAGAAUUCCAGGUGUAGCAGUGAAAUGCGUAGAGAUCUGGAGGAACAUCAGUGGCGAAGGCGACUAUCUGGCAAAUAACUGACGCUGAGGAGCGAAAGCGUGGGUAGCAAACAGGAUUAGAUACCCGAGUAGUC
RNAcentral lists this ribosomal RNA (465 nucleotides) under uncultured bacterium. RNAcentral's name for it is "partial 16S ribosomal RNA". It matches the Rfam family "Bacterial small subunit ribosomal RNA", at positions 338 to 795 of the family's 1533-position model. The record is from RNAcentral.